This is a non-coding RNA of Pogona vitticeps (central bearded dragon), 768 nucleotides long. NCBI's taxonomy places the organism in Eukaryota, Metazoa, Chordata, Lepidosauria, Squamata, Agamidae. The record is from RefSeq and is a predicted model, not a curated record.
GAGGCGUAGUGUCAGGUGAUGAACGAAGGGCAUAGAAAGGAGGAGAAAUCGUUGAGUUUCGUUGCAGUUUUUGGACAGCGUUAAACGGUCCAAUAAGAGGGCAGACAACUGGGGCCGUCAAGAUCUUAACUGGGCUACAAUUCCUAUCAGUCCUAUCAGCUUGGGGAUUGUGGGCACCGAAAUCCAACAAGAACCAGAAGGCAACAAUUGCUUGCUCGCCAGUACUCUGCUCUGAAAGGCAGGGAGAUUCUCAGGAGCACGAAGAGACCAUGCAGAAAGAACAUACUGAUAAUGAUACCCUUUAUCUGGGAGGGAACCUCUGCUGAAUCUUGCUGCCUUCCACGAACAGCCACACUAGCAAAAGAUCCACAUGAAAAUUACAGGAAAUCCAGAGACUUCUUAAAUGUUCAGAAGCUGCUCCAAAACAACUGUGCACCAUUCUGAAGAUACCACUUCACCGUUCAAAAUUUGGACAUUUUAUUAACUUGCUACAGGAGACAAACUUGGCAAACAAGCUGCAGCCUUAAACUUCUAACAAGAAGAUGGAAUCAAGAAAUAUCUCCAAACCAGGAACCUAGUUCAGAGUUCAGAGGGAGUGCAAGACCCUUCCAAGAGAGGCUGCCCACUCAAAAUUAAAUCAGAUCAUCUACCUGCUGAUGGUAUCACUACUAAUGGCACAUGUUGCAACUCUGUAAGAGGGUUGCCAUCACAAUACAGUAUAACAGAUUAAAAAGAACAGUAAGGUAAAUAAUGCAAUAAAACUAUAAG